AAAACAUGUGUGUGAGACAAGCAAUUGUGUCUGGUUAAUACUUUGCUGAUUCAGUUAUGUAUUUGUUUUGAGGGCAUUGCAGUUUAGGAUAUAUAAAGAAAUAAAAGAAAGGUUUAAGGAUUACCUGUGGAUUGAUGUUGUGUCCAAAUGCGACCUGCUUGGAGGCGGCUCUCCGGUGAUUUAUGCCAAAGAAGAUAGAAGCAAUGAUGAAGAAGAAAUCAUUAAGUACAGGGAAACAGGGCCUGAUGAAUCAUUUCAUGUCUCAGUGAAAACAGAACAAGGUCUCAGUGAGGUAUGUAAAACCUUACCAGAAAUCUUUUCUAUUUCCACAAAAAAAUGAAAGCAAAGUAAAGAGUGUCUGUUUCUCUACAUGGCUUGCAGCUAAAGAGCAAAGUAAAGGAAGUGCUGAGUAAUGAGAUGGAGAAGAUCAAAAGUGGAGUGGGAGUUGAUCCAAGUGUUGCUAGUUCUUAGGUAGAUAGAGCCAUAGAGGUUUUACCUUUUUACUAAAAUCCAUUUUAAGCUUUGUUACUUGUGAAGAUGUAUCUUCUGAAAAAGCAUCAAUUGUUGUUUUAUUAAUAACAGUAUUAAAAGAUUAUACGUCAUAUCAAAAUAUAAAUCAUUGAUGGAUGCUUUACCUAUAAUUUAUCGUUACAUUUAUUUGUAGCAUAUAACUAUUCAUGUUAACUGCUAAAAAAUUUUAUGAUCCAACAUGACUGAUGUUACACGCUCAUGCUAAUCGUGUCCAUCCCAAGUUUAAUGUCUGGCAACCCAAGUCCUACCCUAAACCAUAUAUUUUUGUAUGCUAGUAACCAUCUUAUACAUAAUUUAAUUGCCUAUGUUAAUCUAUGGAAGUUCAGUAAAAAAAGUCAUGUUAACGUAGGAUUAAAAUGAUAUGUCCUCGUUUUGUAUUGAUAGUUAGCAUUAAAAUUAGAGUUAUUAUAUUUAUAUUUGGCUCUAAAACCUCAUCUGAAAAAAUCUGCACAUUUCGUCGUUCGAUAAACAUUUUUACCGAAAAUAAUUUGUGGUCCUAAAGCCAUAAACAAAACAGUCACCUAUUGAGUCCCAGUACAAAUAUAGCUCGUCUGCUGCGUUCAGGAGUCAGAACCUAGCAUCUGACACAGCCCUUUUCCAGAAGGGCAAAAUCGUGUCUCUUGGCCCAAAAUCAUACUCUGUUUACCUCUUUCGAUUUUUCAAGGGCAGUCCUCUAAUCUAAUCGGUGUCUGAUAUUGGUAUAUUACCCUGAAUCUCUAUGUAAAGUCCUUCAACUGACAUGGUAUAGGCCCAAUACACCAGUUAGCGUUGUUUUCAUGGUUAAAUAAAUUUGUCGAACCAUGAACCCAAAACCAUUCCGGUCCAGUUCGGUUAUCUCUGAAUCCACAACUCAAAUGGUGCAAGGCGUGACAAUGCCUUGUACAAGCUUUCUCAGAAACACGAUGAAAUUGGCGUCGAGCUUGUUUCCCAAUCAAUGGCGACUCUUAGCAUCAUCACCACAGCUUUAUCUACAAUCUUUCAUCUUCUCGUCAGGUACCUCUUCAAUCGCUUCCUCAAAUCCUUGUCUUUUCAUCCUCCUCUUACCUCUCUCAUACUCUUGUUCAGCCUCCACUUCAAAGUCUCCAACUUUGCGUCAAUAUCGGAAUCUUCAGACAGCUGUUUCUCCAGUCGUCACUUCGAGUUACUUGCCCACUUCCUACAUCACUCAGAAGCAGAUUGAAACCCCUACCUCCCCGGUAAAAAGUUCCCACCUUUGGAUCCCUUUUUUACUUACAAAAGUCUCGAGCUUUGGGUUAGGUAAAGUUUUUGACUUUUAACGAAAACGAAUGUUGGGUUUUGCAGGAAAAGCAAGGGGCUCCAGUGCAGGAGAGUUUGGGGGCUUUUCAAAAACUCCCCAUGGUGAUGCCAUCUAUUGAUUUGUACUCUUCUGCUCUCAGGAAGUCCAAAAGAGUCCAACCAACUAAAGGUUGUAAUAUUGAUUCCUUUGUUCAAACUCGUUAGCUGAGUCUUGGUCCAUUUUGCGGUGUCUCACUCAGGCAUAGCUAAUAUUGCAAAGAGGGAAAGAAACAGAGGUGCUAAACAGCUUGAUGCAUUCAUGAAAGUAAGCUCAUUCUAACGCAUCCUUUGGUUGAGAUUCUGAGAUGAUUCUUGUCUGACUGGUCUUUGUUUGAAAAGGAACUGGCUUUACCUUUAAAAGGAUACAUGGAGAGUUUUCCAAGGAGGAGACUGUUGCAUCCUUAUGAGCGGUCUCUUAUUGAGUUGACACUUGGUGAUGGAAAAUACGAGGAGGUAUCUCUAUUAUGCGUAUGCCCUUUAAGUCAUUCUCUCCCAUUACCCUACUACUGAUUCUAGCAUUGGCUUAUAGAUUAAGUUGUUCUUUAGGUGUUAGGAAAAGUUGAUGCUCUGAGGAAGAAGGUGUUGUCUGUUGGAAAGGAACAUGCUUCUCUCUGUGCUAAGGUCAGACUCCUCAAUCCUGUGGAAGAUAAGAUUAUUGUAUUUUUCAUGUUAGUGAUCUCACAUAGGUUGUGAUUGGUACUGCAACACUAAAGGCGUUACCAACUUCUAAAAUUUCAUUGUUCUAUCUUAUUCUAUCAUAGUUUAGUUGAACGAAAAGCUAAUAAAGAUCUUUUGCUUUUCUUCUUUUGGCAGGCAUUAUCAAAGCGAGAAGCAGAGGAUCGGUUGAGCGAAGGUGUGGAGAAGCUUGAAUUGGUCUUCCAGCAAGAAGGAAGAGCUGUUGAUGAUUUGUUAAGCAUAGCAAAGGUUCCUUGCUUGUUUCUCUCUCGCAAUGGUUUGACCCUUUUGACUUAAAUUAUCAGAACUGUAUGAAUAGAGUUAAGCAUCUUGCAGGUUUUGAGGGCUAUGCCAGUUGUUGACUUGGAAAUGCCAACCCUUUGCCUUGUCGGAGCACCAAACGUGGGGAAAUCAUCGUUGGUUCGCAUUCUUUCAACAGGGAAGCCAGAGGUUUUGCCUUUUGUCCCAACCUUCAUAUUAGUUUUGAUAUUAACUUGCAUUCCCUUAUAUGAUAUUCUUUUUGGGUUGUCAGAUUUGCAACUAUCCUUUCACAACCAGAGGGAUUCUGAUGGGCCAUGUCAUUUUGAACUACCAACGGUUUCAGGUUACAUUACUUGCUUUGUUUCAUCUAAUCACAUUCCUCAUGAUUUGGAUUGUUAAUCAUCCAGAGACUCAUUGCAGGUGACAGACACCCCUGGACUUCUCAGGAGAUGUGAUGGUAAAGUCUACUUGCUAUAUAACUCUCUUGUGUAUGCAUUGUUUUAUGAUAUUUGAUUGUUGUUUUUUGGGUCAUGACAGAGGAUAGGAACAAUCUAGAGAAGCUAACUCUUGCUGUACUCACUCAUCUUCCAACCGCGGUUCUAUAUGUUCAUGAUCUUACUGGAGAGUGUGGGACUUCACCUUCUGACCAGGUAAGUGUAUACCAUGUGCAUCGUCAACUUAAUUUAAAUGAUCUGAAGAAGACAAAACAUGUGUGUGAGACAAGCAAUUGUGUCUGGUUAAUACUUUGCUGAUUCAGUUAUGUAUUUGUUUUGAGGGCAUUGCAGUUUAGGAUAUAUAAAGAAAUAAAAGAAAGGUUUAAGGAUUACCUGUGGAUUGAUGUUGUGUCCAAAUGCGACCUGCUUGGAGGCGGCUCUCCGGUGAUUUAUGCCAAAGAAGAUAGAAGCAAUGAUGAAGAAGAAAUCAUUAAGUACAGGGAAACAGGGCCUGAUGAAUCAUUUCAUGUCUCAGUGAAAACAGAACAAGGUCUCAGU
RNAcentral lists this long non-coding RNA (3755 nucleotides) under Brassica napus (rape). RNAcentral describes it as "long non-coding RNA (BNAP_LNC018863)". Lineage: Eukaryota; Viridiplantae; Streptophyta; Magnoliopsida; Brassicales; Brassicaceae. The record is from RNAcentral.